This 490-nucleotide ribosomal RNA is filed under the name uncultured bacterium. RNAcentral describes it as "partial 16S ribosomal RNA". It matches the Rfam family "Bacterial small subunit ribosomal RNA", at positions 30 to 507 of the family's 1533-position model. The record is from RNAcentral.
AUUGAACGCUGGCGGCAGGCCUAACACAUGCAAGUCGAACGGUAACAGGAAGAAGCUUGCUUCUUUGCUGACGAGUGGCGGACGGGUGAGUAAUGUCUGGGAAACUGCCUGAUGGAGGGGGAUAACUACUGGAAACGGUAGCUAAUACCGCAUAACGUCGCAAGACUAAAGAGGGGGACCUUCGGGCCUCUUGCCAUCGGAUGUGCCCAGAUGGGAUUAGCUAGUAGGUGGGGUAACGGCUCACCUAGGCGACGCUCCCUAGCUGGUCUGAGAGGAUGACCAGCCACACUGGAACUGAGACACGGUCCAGACUCCUACGGGAGGCAGCAGUGGGGAAUAUUGCACAAUGGGCGCAAGCCUGAUGCAGCCAUGCCGCGUGUAUGAAGAAGGCCUUCGGGUUGUAAAGUACUUUCAGCGGGGAGGAAGGGAGUAAAGUUAAUACCUUUGCUCAUUGACGUUACCCGCAGAAGAAGCACCGGCUAACUCCGUG